AUGAACUGUCAUAAAAAUGUGUUAGGAACCAAAGGUUAUGAGGAACUGAAUUCUGUGGUUUUGAGGUCUAUA
RNAcentral lists this small nucleolar RNA (72 nucleotides) under Vicugna pacos (alpaca). RNAcentral describes it as "Small nucleolar RNA SNORD112 (ENSVPAG00000017879.1)". Lineage: Eukaryota; Metazoa; Chordata; Mammalia; Artiodactyla; Camelidae. The record is from RNAcentral.